Branchiostoma floridae (Florida lancelet) is the source of this 279-nucleotide long non-coding RNA. RefSeq lists it as uncharacterized. The record is from RefSeq and is a predicted model, not a curated record. NCBI's taxonomy places the organism in Eukaryota, Metazoa, Chordata, Leptocardii, Amphioxiformes, Branchiostomatidae. The transcript is spliced from 3 exons.
AGACAUAUUGGAUCCCCGCUGGUGGCAGAGAACGAGCCGUUUGUGGGGACCCCUGUCACACCCCGUAGUGCACCAAGGGUCAGGGAGGCGAGUAAGGUUGUCUACCCCAGUCUGGAUGAGAUGGUUGCAGAGGCUCAGGAGGAAACACCUGUGAAAGCCCUCCUGACCUCACCUGGGCGACGCCCGCGCACCUCACCUGUCGGCCUGCUGGAGAGACUCAGAAGACACACAGUGAACCUGGGUGCAGACCGCGAUGUCCCUCCUGUCCACCCCCCCUGG